Molecule: long non-coding RNA, 508 nt
Filed under: Salmo salar (Atlantic salmon)
Lineage: Eukaryota; Metazoa; Chordata; Actinopteri; Salmoniformes; Salmonidae
Description: lncRNA (ENSSSAG00000111257.1)
Source: RNAcentral
GUCAAGAUGAGCCUGCACAUACCUGCUGCGUUUUGGUCCUCUUCUCUCCAGUGGGGCCCAUCUUCCCCAUUAGCCCCUGGACCACCCUGCCUGCCCCUGACCAUGAGCCUGCCUGCCGACGUGUACCUUUUUCCCUCCACUGGUUACCGACCCCUGCCUGCCUUGACCGGUCUAUUGCCUGCCCUUGUGGAAUCAUCAAACCACUGUUUAUCCGAAAGUGUCUGCAUCCAGGGCCCUGGGUCUGAGCCCCCCCCUGUGCAACUGGGUCUAGACUUCCAGACGGGCCAACCCCAGGUGGUUAACGUAGGGAACAACACUUCCGCCAUGCUGAUCCUCAUCACUGGGGCCCAACACUGUACUCCCUGUUCACCCAUGAUGUGCGUGGUUACGGAAGUCUCCAACUCAAUCAAUCAAGUUCGCUAACAACACAACAUUGGUGACCUGAUCACCAACAACAAUGAGACAGCCAACAGGGAGGUUAUGGGAGCCCUGGCGGAGUGGUGACAGG